GAGUUUGAUCUUGGCUCAGAUUGAACGCUGGCGGCAGGCCUAACACAUGCAAAGUCGAACGGUAACAGGAAGAAGCUUGCUUCUUUGCUGACGAGUGGCGGACGGGUGAGUAAUGUCUGGGAAACUGCCUGAUGGAGGGGGAUAACUACUGGAAACGGUAGCUAAUACCGCAUAACGUCGCAAGACCAAAGAGGGGGACCUUCGGGCCUCUUGCCAUCGGAUGUGCCCAGAUGGGAUUAGCUUGUUGGUGGGUAACGCUCACCAAGGCGACGAUCCCUUGCUGGUCUGAG
RNAcentral lists this ribosomal RNA (290 nucleotides) under uncultured bacterium. RNAcentral describes it as "partial 16S ribosomal RNA". It matches the Rfam family "Bacterial small subunit ribosomal RNA", at positions 9 to 296 of the family's 1533-position model. The record is from RNAcentral.